RNAcentral lists this ribosomal RNA (165 nucleotides) under Bacillus velezensis. RNAcentral describes it as "partial 23S ribosomal RNA". It matches the Rfam family "Bacterial large subunit ribosomal RNA", at positions 1 to 164 of the family's 2925-position model. The record is from RNAcentral. Lineage: Bacteria; Bacillati; Bacillota; Bacilli; Caryophanales; Bacillaceae.
CGGUUAAGUUAGAAAGGGCGCACGGUGGAUGCCUUGGCACUAGGAGCCGAUGAAGGACGGGACGAACACCGAUAUGCUUCGGGGAGCUGUAAGCAAGCUUUGAUCCGGAGAUUUCCGAAUGGGGAAACCCACCACUCGUAAUGGAGUGGUAUCCAUAUCUGAAUA